RNAcentral lists this ribosomal RNA (250 nucleotides) under uncultured Verrucomicrobiota bacterium. Its description in RNAcentral is "uncultured Verrucomicrobia bacterium partial 16S ribosomal RNA". It matches the Rfam family "Bacterial small subunit ribosomal RNA", at positions 524 to 773 of the family's 1533-position model. Lineage: Bacteria; Pseudomonadati; Verrucomicrobiota. The record is from RNAcentral.
UACAGAGGUCCCAAGCGUUGUUCGGAUUCACUGGGCGUAAAGGGUGCGUAGGUGGCGGGGUAAGUCUGGUGUGAAAGCUCGGAGCUCAACCCCGAAAUGGCACUGGAUACUAAUCUGCUGGAGGACUGGAGGGGAGACUGGAAUUCUCGGUGUAGCAGUGAAAUGCGUAGAUAUCGAGAGGAACACCAGUGGCGAAGGCGAGUCUCUGGACAAUACCUGACACUGAGGCGCGAAAGCCAGGGGAGCAAAC